This 253-nucleotide ribosomal RNA is filed under the name uncultured bacterium. RNAcentral's name for it is "partial 16S ribosomal RNA". It matches the Rfam family "Bacterial small subunit ribosomal RNA", at positions 524 to 776 of the family's 1533-position model. The record is from RNAcentral.
UACGUAGGGUGCAAGCGUUGUCCGGAAUUAUUGGGCGUAAAGAGCUCGUAGGCGGUUUGUCGCGUCUGCUGUGAAAACGCGAGGCUCAACCUCGCGCCUGCAGUGGGUACGGGCAGACUAGAGUGCGGUAGGGGAGAUUGGAAUUCCUGGUGUAGCGGUGGAAUGCGCAGAUAUCAGGAGGAACACCGGUGGCGAAGGCGGGUCUCUGGGCCGUUACUGACGCUGAGGAGCGAAAGCGUGGGGAGCGAACAGG